ACGAGCAGGGCUUGCCUUGCUCGUUAGUGGCGGACGGCUGAGUAACGCGUGGGUGACCUGCCCCAAAGUGGGGAAUAACUGCCCGAAAGGGUGGCUAAUACCGCAUGCGGAGCCUGGUUCGUUCCAGUCUCCAAAGCCGCGAGGCGCUUCGGGACGGGCCUGCUUCCGAUUAGCUCGUUGGUGGGGUAACGGCUCACCAAGGCGACAAUCGGUAGGUGGUCUGACAGGACGAUCAUCCCGACUGGGACUGAGACACGGCCCAUACUCUUACUGGAGGCAGCAGUG
RNAcentral lists this unclassified non-coding RNA (285 nucleotides) under uncultured bacterium. Its description in RNAcentral is "partial contains 16S ribosomal RNA and 16S-23S ribosomal RNA intergenic spacer region". It matches the Rfam family "Bacterial small subunit ribosomal RNA", at positions 69 to 356 of the family's 1533-position model. The record is from RNAcentral.